AAAAAAAGCACCAUCGCCGCUGGGCAACG
RNAcentral lists this small RNA (29 nucleotides) under Bombyx mori (domestic silkworm). RNAcentral's name for it is "piRNA piR-bmo-1374317". Lineage: Eukaryota; Metazoa; Arthropoda; Insecta; Lepidoptera; Bombycidae. The record is from RNAcentral.